Molecule: ribosomal RNA, 301 nt
Filed under: uncultured bacterium
Lineage: Bacteria
Description: partial 16S ribosomal RNA
Rfam family: Bacterial small subunit ribosomal RNA
Source: RNAcentral
CAGUAGCCACGGGAAUACGGAGGGUGCAAGCGUUAAUCGGAAUUACUGGGCGUAAAGCGCACGCAGGCGGUCUGACAAGUCAGAUGUGAAAUCCCCGGGCUUAACCUGGGAACUGCAUUUGAAACUGUCAGGCUGGAGUCUUGUAGAGGGGGGUGGAAUUCCAGGUGUAGCGGUGAAAUGCGUAGAGAUCUGGAGGAAUUCCGGUGGCGAAGGCGGCCCCCUGGACAAAGACUGACGCUCAGGUGCGAAAGCGUGGGGAGCAAACAGGAUUAGAUACCCCGGUAGUCCCUGUCUCUUAUAC